Long non-coding RNA from Polypterus senegalus (gray bichir), 568 nucleotides. RefSeq lists it as uncharacterized. The record is from RefSeq and is a predicted model, not a curated record. The transcript has 3 exons. Lineage: Eukaryota; Metazoa; Chordata; Cladistia; Polypteriformes; Polypteridae.
CAUUCAGAGUUCUGUCGGAAUUACAGUUCUGUAUAAAAUGUGAACAGUAACGCAAAUGAAAAUAAUCGUUAUAAAUAUAUAACUGAUGAUAAUAACGACUGUUAAGCUGUGUAUUUCUAUUGGCUGUUAUGGUUUUUAGAAGCUGUGGCUUGCAGAGUUAUCAACAAAUGUGACAAUCCGCUUCUUAUCGCGUUCCACUUGCGCGCCAACGCCACGCUCUGCAGUUACAUGUCACGUGAGGUGUUGUGAAAGAAGUGAGCCAUUAAAAUGAUUAGCCUUUUAGGCGAAAGGUGCACUUUGCUGAGAUGCCUGUGUUUUAUGAUGCUAAAGAAAACUAAAGUCAAGCUUAUAUUUUGUUUCCCUCGAGUCUGUGCACAUGGCUGUGAAUACAACCUUCCGAUGUCCAUCCCCAACCUAUCCCGUGGCCUGCAGUGAGGACCUUCUCCAUGAAGAGGCGUGUUUCGAAUACAAAUCGGGAAUGCAGCAAUGGAGGAUUUACUGUAUGCAUAUUUUAACAACAGGCCAAAGAUCUCUUUCUAAGCCUCAACUGGUCCAGAAUUCAGCUGCC